AUUGAAGACUGGGAUUUCUAAUUAAAUGAAAGGUUUUUAAGCAAAUCUGAGACCACAAGUUUUGGUCUAAGUUAACUGAUAAAUCCGCUUCCCAUUUUGCAAUAGGAAUUGAUAUUGAUUCAUCUGUUUUAGAAAGCAUUCUGUAUAUUUUGGAAAGUAAUUUGGGGGUUUUAAGAGUAAGAAAUUGUACCACACUUGGUGGUGUUUGUAGUUCAACUUGACCCGGUUUAAAUUUCUAUUUUACUAUGGAUUUAAUUUGUUCAUAUUCUAACAAAUUAAACUCCACAGUGGGUUUUAAUCUGGGACUCUCCACCAUUUGACCUUAGAACUGAAGAAGCUUCUCGGAUGAGAGGUGAAACAUAUUUGUUAAAUUUAAGACUAAAGAGAGAAGUCAUCUGUAUCUCUUAAUUGAAAUGACACCAAAUUGUAUUCAAAACUGAGCCACAUUUAUGGAGGUCCACAAUUCUUUUCUUGGUGUUUUGGUUGAUAUCUCUUGAUUUUCCCAUGUCAAAGAAACAGGGUCGUGUUUUGCCUUAUAUGCAUCCACAGGUCUGCCACCAAUUUACUCACAUGGACUCUACCAACCAAUCAGAAGCUUCUUCAGCUCAGAAUGGAAUCAUCUAGAGUUUUCUUAUUAAUUAACAAUAAACUUAGUGUACAUGUACUCCUAAAUUUGAUGAAAGUGAUAAAAAUAGACAGCUCUCUCUCAAUUCUGACAUUUAACUAAUUCAAAAUAUAUUUUAAUAUUUAUUUACCUAAAACAAAACAAGUUUACUCUAAAUUCAUGUGUAACAGUGAAAUUUUAUUUCAUGUUUUUUCCCUAAAGUGUAUGCAAACAUCCGAUUUCAACUGUGAAUAUACUGCUGUGUAUUGAAAUUCCUCUUGUUUUGCAUAGAAAUACACUGAACAACAUACAAAGCAUAAUAUAUAAAAAACAUCUACCAGAGUUUUUCUUUGAAAAAAGCCCCUUAUGUCCAUUGUUGUGUUCAUCAGUAAAUAACUGAAGCCGAUUUAGAGUGCUUUGUUUAGCCGUGGAGGGUAACAACUGAAAAUAUGAAAUAAACACACAUUUAACCUAAGAAUAUCUAAAACAACAGCAUUGUUGUUCGGCUUUUCUUUUCGCCAUUUGUUGAUUCACUCGAAGAGCAAGUAAUGUAAUAUGGGUCAAGUGAUCCGUUUGAUAUCAAUCUUUUGUGAUGCACCGUCAUAUUUACAUUAUUUGUAUAGUCCGAAUGAUUUGCUUUGGUACCUUGUCAAACUUAAGCUCUCCUCUGUCUGCAGCAAACUCGCAGGCAGCAGCUUCUCUCCCCUCGCUCACAUGCAUAAGUGCUGUUCUCAGUUGGCCCAAAAUUCAGACUCAGCAGGAAGUGGAAACCCUUCUACCCUCUCCAAUCUUAGCAGAGGUCUACAAGUUUGUGGACAAGGCUCAGCGGGCCCAACACUCUAAAGCAGGGGUGUCGAAGUCCAGGAAAAGAAAGACAACGCAGGAAAUUUUACACCUUGCUUUUAAAAACACACACUCCUCGUUCUGAACCUACAAAACUCAGAGACGAAAACACACCCGAAGACAGUCAGGAGAAAUGGGUAAAGAACUUUUCAGACCGGAAUCUCACUGAACCUGAAAAGAGAGUAUUAGCCAAAGGACUCAAUUUUGCCAUUUCUUCGCAACAGUUGCCCAUAGUGGACCUCAUCACAGCCACAGAAACCGCCAUACGGAUUAAUAAAUUAUCACAGACAGAAGCAGAGCAAAUCAGGAUGAAAGUCUCAGCCACCCUCUCCAGUGCCGAAGUCCCUCCAUCCAACCUCACAAUACAAGAAGGCCGUCACUUCCCUGAGCAAAGACCACAACAUCACUAUUUUACCAGCUGAUGAGGGAAGAUGCACUGUGGUCCUAAACACUACAGAUUACCACACAAAGAUCACUACUCUCCUCAGUGACAACAAUACCUACGGAGCCUUAAAGCGAGACCCCACAAGCAGCUACAAAAAAAAAGUUAUAGCUUGCCUUCAGGACCUUGAAAAGGACAAAAUGAUUGACCGCCUUCCAUAUCACCGCCUUUAUCCAGGGGAUGCGAUACCCUGCAUUUACGGACUUCCUAAAAUCCAGAAGGAAGGUGUCCCACUCAGGCCCAUAGUCAGUGGCAUAAACUCAGACACUUCUAACAUUGCAAAACACCUUGCUACCAUCCUAGCACCUCUUGUGGGAAACACCCCACACCACAUCAAGAACUCCACCGACUUCACCGACAAGGUCCAGAAACUUACCCUGGAUCCAGAUGAAACCAUGGUGUCCUUUGAUGUAGUCUCUCUCUUCACUUGCAUACCCACCACGGAGGCCGUGGAUACUGUCAGAAAACGACUACAAGAAGACAACUCCUUGGAAGACAGGACCAACUUCACACCCGAUCAGAUCUGCACACUGUUAGACAUCUGCCUUAGCACAACAUACUUCAAAUACAACAAAGGCUUCUACAGACAAAAACAUGGCUGUGCCAUGGGGUCCCCCGUGUCACCUAUUGUAGCCAACCUUUAAAUGGAGGAAGUGGAAAGGACACAUUAACGCUGUGGAUAAAAACAUCAAGUUCACCAGGCAAGACACAAAGAAUAACUGUUUGCCUUUCCUGGACUACACUGUGCACAUUGAAGAGAAUGGCAACCUCAACAUUGAAGUUUACUGGAAGCCCACACACACGGACCAGUACCUCCUCUUCUACUCCCAUCACCCUCUGGAACACAAACUUGGAGUAAUCAGGACCCUACACCACCGGGCAGAACAUGUUCCCUCUAAGGCUGAAGGAAAAAAGAAGGAACACACACAUGUAAAGGAAGAACUUAAAACGUGCGGUUAUCCUAAUUGGGCGUUCAUAAAGUCAGCAAAGAGGCACAGAAAGCCGACAUGACGAAUGAAGUCUUAAAGCUCCACAUUACCUGAGAAAAACUCAGGACAGGUCUCCAAGCAUGACAUCCCGGUGCAUUUCAGACCCAGCAACACACUCAGACAGAAACUGGUUCACCCGAAAGACAAAACUCCUAAACACAAGCUUAAUAAUAUGGUGUAUGCUGUACAGUACAGCAAGGAAUGCCCAGACCUCUACAUUGGAGAGACCAAACAGCCACUUCACAAGCGUAUGGCACAACACAGAAGAGCCACCUCCACAGGACAAGACUCAGCAGUCCAUCUGCAUCUUAAGGAUAAAGGACACUCUUUCGAGGAUGCCAAUGUUCACAUUUCGGACGGAGAGGACAGAUGGUUUGAAAGAGGAGUGAAAGAGGCCAUCUAUGUCCACUGUGAGCGACCAUCUUUGAACAGAGGCGGUGGGUUACGACACCAACUGUCUGCCAUCUAUAAACCAGUUUUGAGUUCCCUCCCCUGACGCCUUAAUGCCCACUCACAUCCUGGGCCAUCUGACCUCAGGAAUUUGCAUGAUAAGGUGUGGCCAGGUUUCACAAUGAGCUCACCCGAAAUCCUGGCUGAUUGGGACCCACACCCAUUUUCACACCUCGGCUCAGGUGAUUAGAUUAGAGGAUCAUCAGGGGUCCUUUUGUCCCUCUAUGGGGGGAUACUCCCACUGGGGUUUAAAUCUGGGACUCUCCGCUGUUUGACAUUGGAACUGAAGAAGCUUCUCGGAUGAGAGGUGAAACGUCUUCAAGCAACUUAAAGAAGUCCAGACGCUUUUCUUUGCAAGCUCCUUUGAUCAUCCAGGUAAGGAACUGUGGUCGCAAAUUUUGAAGCCAUUCUGAUAACCUUCUUCCACCAACGAUGUGGAGAUCCAAAUCCAAUUAAAACCAAGACACUCAAAAAGAUGCUCUGUAAAAGAGUAGAAUUCUUGGAACAGAGUUUAAUACACUGAAUCAUAUGAACAGCAGGAAAAAUACAAACAUACAUUUAGCAAGAAAAUUACAAAGCAGAAAGCAAGCAAAGCAAAACCCCGGGGUGUACAGCCUUAAGCACAGACAGCAGAGCAACACAGAGACGGACAGGUAGCAGCAGCAGGAGGAAAAAGAGCUCUGGGGGUGUCCUCUGGUCCCCUAAUAUAGGGACCAGUAUCCCCUCCCCCUGCUGCUGCGUAACUUUCCCACACGCCCAGCACAGCUGCUGGGGUCAGGUAGUGGCCAAGGUCUUGGCCAAAGGCCAGUCAGGACUCUGAGUACCCCUUGCUCUGGCUUAUCACAAUAGGUCAUGACACGGUCAAAGGUCAGACAUUAAUCCUAAUUAUUAAAUCUUAUACAGCAAGUGGCACAAUCUUAUAAUAUAUAAUACAUAGGUUACAUGCUUUCUCAUAUAUAAAAACACUUCAUUUGGGUUCAAAGUGUGUGUGUGUGUGUGUGUGUGUGUGUGUGUGUGUGUGUGUGUGUGUGUGUUUAUUUUGUAUGGUAUUUUAUCGUGAUGUGUUCAGGAUCUCUGUUACAAUGUUACUGUUUUGGUUGUGCUGCAUUAAAGACAUUAAAUUAAUUAAUUAUUAAGUAAAUUAUUCAAGAGAACUCUCCCCUUACAUUAACUGCCCUGUUACAGUACCAACUUAAUAAACCUCGGUGAAGCAAAAAUGUCUUGUGUUUAAGACUCCACAUGAA
This is a long non-coding RNA of Oreochromis aureus, 4572 nucleotides long. The record is from Ensembl. NCBI's taxonomy places the organism in Eukaryota, Metazoa, Chordata, Actinopteri, Cichliformes, Cichlidae.